CAAAUUAGAGCUUGUUAAAGUAUUUCAUUUACAUUGAAAAGAAAUUAAAAUUUAAUUA
This 58-nucleotide transfer RNA is filed under the name Hestinalis nama. RNAcentral describes it as "tRNA-Val". The record is from RNAcentral. Lineage: Eukaryota; Metazoa; Arthropoda; Insecta; Lepidoptera; Nymphalidae.